Molecule: long non-coding RNA, 613 nt
Filed under: Parus major (Great Tit)
Lineage: Eukaryota; Metazoa; Chordata; Aves; Passeriformes; Paridae
Description: lncRNA (ENSPMJG00000015647.1)
Source: RNAcentral
AUGUGGAGCGGGGGAAAGUCGGUGGAGGAGAAGAGGGAGGGGGCGGCGGGCAGGGCCAGCUCCUCGGACUGCGGCAGGAACGGGUCGUGGUGGUCCAGGAGAGCGGCGCUGCCUGGGGUGGGGACAGGGAGGUGCCAGGGGACAGCUCAGUGCCCAGGGGACAGCUCUGUGCCCCGAGUGUGCCCAGGGGACAGCUCAGUGCCCAGAGUGUGCCCAGGGGACAGCUCAGUGCCCAGAGGACACCUCAGUGCUCAGGGGACACCUCUGUCCCCACCACCCCAGCCCCCACACUCACCGGGGCUCAGCUGGAAACUCUCCUCGAAGGUUUCCAUGUUCGGCAUCAGCUCCGCCAGUUCCAGCGUCUCCAGAGUCCCCGAGCCCAGGUCCGGCCCCUCCAGCGACUGCAGCAGCUCCUGCAUGUCCUGGCUGCCCGGCAGCAGCUCCAGGUCCCUCAGCUCCGGUGGCAGUGUCCCCUGCUCCUCGGGGAGCCGCGGUGGCUCCGCAGCCCCCGGCACCGGCUGCAGCGUCCCCGUGUCCACAGCCACUGUCCCCUGCUCCCCCCGCAGCAGCUGCAGGCUCCCCACGCCCCCUGAGCCCACCUGCAGCAUCCCCA